GACGAACGCUGGCUGCGUGCUUAACACAUGCAAGUCGAGCGGAAAGGCCACUUCGGUGGUACUCGAGCGGCGAACGGGUGAGUAACACGUGAGUAAUCUGCCCCUGGCUUUGGGAUAGCCACCGGCAACGGUGAUUAAUACCGGAUACGACCACUUCUCGCAUGGGAUGGUGGUGGAAAGUUUUUUCGGCCAGGGAUGUGCUCGCGGCCUAUCAGCUUGAUGGUGAGGUAAUGGCUCACCAUGGCUUCGACGGGUAUCCGGACUGAGAGGGCGACCGGUCGAACUGGGACUGAGACACGGCCCAGACUCCUACCGGAGGCAGCAGUGGGAAAUAUUGGACGAUGGGCGGAAGCCUGAUCCAGCAACGCCGCGUGAGGGAUGACGGCCUUCGGGUUGUAAACCUCUUUCAGCAGGGACGAAGCGCAAGUGACGGUACCUGCAGAAGAAGCACCGGCCAACUACGUGCCAGCCGCCGCAGUAA
This 481-nucleotide ribosomal RNA is filed under the name uncultured bacterium. Its description in RNAcentral is "partial 16S ribosomal RNA". It matches the Rfam family "Bacterial small subunit ribosomal RNA", at positions 28 to 523 of the family's 1533-position model. The record is from RNAcentral.